GUACUUGCUUUGGCAGUACAUAUACUAAAAUUGGACAAUACAGAGAAGGUUAGUGUGGCCCCUCCACUAGGAUCAAACCAAACAAAGUGAACAGUGUGUGUCCACCUGUUU
This is a small nuclear RNA of Macrobrachium nipponense, 111 nucleotides long. Lineage: Eukaryota; Metazoa; Arthropoda; Malacostraca; Decapoda; Palaemonidae. The record is from RefSeq and is a predicted model, not a curated record.